Long non-coding RNA from Ostrea edulis (European flat oyster), 3020 nucleotides. RefSeq lists it as uncharacterized. NCBI's taxonomy places the organism in Eukaryota, Metazoa, Mollusca, Bivalvia, Ostreida, Ostreidae. The transcript has 2 exons. The record is from RefSeq and is a predicted model, not a curated record.
AUAUUACAUGUGUAAAAAUGUAUACAAUAAUUUUAGGAUGCAUGUCAAAUGUAGCUGAGUGCUUAGUAAAAAUGUUGAUAUACAACAUGUAGGUGUCACCAUGAUUCCUAGCAUAUAGAUGGGUGCAAAUACGAAACUAAGACACGUGGUCAGUUGCUGAAGAAAUUCCGGUGAAAACAUGCAGGGUCUAGCAAAAGGUCUGUAGCUGUGAGGGAAGGUGGAUGGCCCCAUAUGAGAGGUAGAUUUUUGAGAAGGGCAGAUAGGGUUCUUGAUUGUGCACAGUGUCUAAAUCCCCAUGUUUGGUACUGUGAUGGUGUGGGGGUGGUGCGGAUUAGCCCAAAUGAGGGAAAAUCAAAGCAAAAAAGGGGAACCUGCUCAGAGCAUGUUUUGUGCACCAGCACCAGUAUUUAUAGAUUACAUGUAAUUUAGGGUCAUAAUUUAUUAACUACACUAAUAUGAAAUACAAGUAUGGACAUAAAAGGGAAAUAUGAUUUUUCAUUAGUCUGUCAUAAUCUGACUUUGGUGUAUACCCCCUAUCCACAUGUUUCAAAACCAAAGAAACUGUCCCCUGCCACCUAAACUCAACAUUGCCAGCAGAGACGAGGGAACUAAGACUACGGAUAAAAGUAUCCAAACGUGGUGAGAAGACUUGGAUGAAUUAACAUAACAGAAGGAAGACCGGAAGCCAUUGUUAUAUGGUGGUAUAAUGUAUCAGCUGUUCUAUCACUUCAUACAUAUCGAGAUUGCAGAUAAGAUAUUACCUCAUCAGAAUUCAUAACUUGAGCAAUAUGUUCCCUUUGACAUUCAAUUUUAUUACUGAUAACCCUAUGCUACUGUAAAUUCAUUCAUCUUCCUCCAAAGAUGUACAUGUUAAAUUCUUCAUUGCUAUUUUAGCUCACCUGAGUCAAUGACAAGUUUUUCUGAUCAAAAUGUGUCCAUUGUACAUCGUCGUUGUUUGCAUUCUCCUCAUCAUAAACUUUCCUCAUUUUCAUAUUCUUUUCCAGAACCACUGGGCAAAUUUCAACCAAACUUGGCACAGAGCACCUUUGGGUGAAGGGGAUUUAAAUUUUUAAAAUGAAGGGCCGUGCCCGUUCAAAAAUGCAAAAAUAUGAUGGGUAAUUUUAAAAUCUUCUCAAGAACCACUGGGCCUGAAGAAAUAAAAUUCAUAUGAAAGCUUAUUGACAUAUUAAAAUUUGUUAAAUGUGUGCCUCCCCCCACCCUCCCCAGGGAUAGCAUGGUGCACAAAACGGGAUGAAAAAAAAAUACAUGCAAAUAUAUAGGGAAAUUUUUUAAUGUCUUCUGAAGAGGCACUGGCCAGAAAAGUACAGAUUUACAUCAAAGGUUUCUGAUAUAGUGCAGAUUAAAAUUUGUUAAAAUCAUAGCUCCGAGGGGUUGGAUGGGUCCACAAUAGGGGGUAAAAGUUUCACAUACAAAUAUAAUUCGGAUAUUUUUGAAGAUCUUCUGAAGAACCACCAUACCAGAUAUGUUUAUGUUUACAUGAAAGUUUCCGGACAUAGUGCAGAUCGAAGUUUGUAAAAAUCAUGGCCCCGGGGUGUAGGGUGGGGCCACAAUAUGGGAACAACGAUUUACAUGGGGAAAAAAUGGGCAAAUCUUCUAAAGAACCACUGAGCAAAAAAAGUUUCCAAAACAUUUCUUUUAGUGAUGUAACCAGUGAAAAUAGACUUUUCUUCUAUUCUUCUGUAACCAGUGAAAAUAGACUUUUCUUCUAUUCUUCUAGCUGCCCAAAGUUUUGCAUACAAAUAUACACUGGACCAUUUACAUUUACAUGUAAGCUUUCUGACAUAGCACUGAUUCAAAAUCUCCCAGGGGCUGGGGUGGGUUAAGGUAGGAGCCACAAUAGGGAUUAAAGUUUUACAUUCGAAUAUGUAGGGGGAAUCAUUCUGAGAAUUUCACUUUUUAAAUGGCAUAAAUAGUAGGUUUAUCUCUUUUUGAUGCGGCAUAAACCUAUAGCAUUUGGCAUACACCUGACCAAAACUCCUUGCAGGGAAUGCACCACAUUUCUCUCCCCUCAAAAUUCAACCAUACUUUUCUGUUCAGCCACUGUGGUUUGAAUUCACGUUUUCUUUUUUUUCUUUUUUUUCAUAUAGCUUGCGUUUUUCUUGUUCUGAUUUUUUUGUUUGUUUGACACCAUUUGGUUUAAUAACGGGCUUUGUGCCAUCAAAAUAUUUUAACUGUAGAACCAUUUACACGUCAUUUGUUGACCUUCACCUCAAAUUAUAUUUGCUAAGUCAGAUGUAUAUUAUUUUCUUUUAACAUUCUUGCAAUAUUUGAAUAUUUGCGAAAUAAAGAAAAAAGGACAACUCUUGUUAUAUUGUUAGGGAAAAUUUUAAUUUAAAAAUCGAUCCCAAUAAAAUUCAUCAAUGCAGAUAAAAAAAAAAAACAUCGACAUUUAAAGACAUUCGAAUCAUACGCUGAACAAUUUGUCUAGAACACGUCAUAAUCUUCAAACCACUUACACACUUAUGUCGUAUAUUUUAAAAUCAAUGGGAGCACAGCGAUUUUUUUCUACCCACUGGUACUGGUACCGGUACCCAUUCAGUUGGGAAAAAUAGCGUCAAAAUUGAACAAAUUGGGAAUUUUCUAACAAUGUAUCGGCAAAUGAUUUCAACUAAAAGAAAAGAAAAAAGAGAACAAAACAAGAAGUAGUCAUGUCUUUACAAACUUUUUUACGCUAAUAUUUGCUGUUGUGAGAUAUAAGGAAUCGUCAUAGGCUCGUUUUAGAAUUGUUGUAGUUCUACAAAACACGCGCACUGCCAUGAUCUGUACUUUCGAUUUAAUACCAGAAGUGGACAUUUUAGUUAACUUCUACAACGUUUCAGACUAAGUAAAUUACGAUUUUUCGGCAAGUGAAUUGGGAAAUUUUAGUCUCAAAAUUGGGAAAAAGCAAUGGUUUUUGGCAUUGGGAAUGGUACUGUUUAUCGGUACCAGUUAUAUAAGGAAAAAAAUCGCUGGAGCACAAUCCAGGUCCCAAAAUAGAUUUUGACGAUUGUAAGGGAAAA